CUCAGCUGUGAGACCAAGAACCUUGGUAUUUACCCCAGACGAUGAGGCCAUUUUAUACUUGGGGACCCAUCCGGGAUUUGAAGUAAAAGUUACAGGAAUCAACUCCUGGAUACAUCACAAUCAAGUUAAGCCUUGAAGAACUGAAGGAGAAGUCCCUGACAGCUCGGAACACCCUCAAUAUCACUGUGAAGAAAUGGGGGAUCUCAAGCUGAGAAUCACCAAAGAUAAGUAAAUGAAUUCGCCGUCAGCUGAAGUAUUACCACGAUCAUUAGAAGAUUUAGCUAACGUUAACACUAAAGUUACCCUAGUCACUCAGUCCAAUGCAACUUAUCCUGAUGAGCAAGUAAAAAAUGUAUUUCUCCCAAUCAUAUCACAAGUUAUAGAGGAUGGCCCAGACCUGAAUUUUACAGAAUCUUCACCUCUUGUAAGAGUCUUUUGCACUGUACUUCCAAGGUGCACAUUAUCCAUUUGUUUCACAUCUUUGAGAACAAAGGGAACUUACCUGGGAACCUUGUCCAGCUGCUCAUAUGAAGUAUUUCUUAGUUGGACAACUCAGGAAAGGUAAUACAACUCUUCAGAAAAGAGAGACAAAUGGUAUCUUAAAGUAAGAAAGCAACACCAGUUCCUUCUCUUUAAAUACCCAAAUUCAAGGUGACCUCAGUUUACUAGUAACACCAACACUUCCUGCAUUUCUACGGGUUGGUACUCAGUGUUGAAAGAUAACUCACCUUUACCCCUAGCCCGAAUGUUAGCCUGGGGAAUACAAAGAAUGUUCUUAAAAUUCCACCCCAAUCACGUAUUCCUUUCCAACAUUCGGGCAGAAUUUGCCUCAAUAUGGGAGGACCUC
Long non-coding RNA from Homo sapiens (human), 847 nucleotides. RefSeq lists it as uncharacterized. NCBI's taxonomy places the organism in Eukaryota, Metazoa, Chordata, Mammalia, Primates, Hominidae. The record is from RefSeq and is a predicted model, not a curated record. The transcript has 3 exons.